UGUUUUUUUGAAAAUAAUAUAAAGUUUAAUUUGCCCACUGAUAUUAAUAUUAAAGGGCUGCAGUAUAUUGACUGUACAAAGGUAGCAUAAUCAUUAGUCAUUUAAUUGAUGGCUUGUAUGAAGGAUUGGAUGAAAUAUAGACUGUCUCUUAAUUAUAUAUUUAGAAUUUAAUUUUUUAAUUAAAAAGUUAAAAUAUUUUAAAAAGACGAGAAGACCCUUUAGAGUUUUAUAAUUAAGUUAAUUGAGAUUAUUUAUAAAAUAAAAAUUAAGAUUAAUUUAUUUAUUUUGUUGGGGUGACAGAAAAAUAUAUUAAACUUUUUAUAUAAUAAAACAUAAAUAAAUGGUUAGAUGAUCCAUUAUUAUUGAUUAUAAGAAUAAAUUACCUUAGGGAUAACAGCGUAAUUUUUUUUUUUAGUUCAUAUAAAAAAAAAAGUUUGCGACCUCGAUGUUGGAUUAAAAUAAAAUCUAAAUGCAGAAG
RNAcentral lists this ribosomal RNA (478 nucleotides) under Sesamia incerta. RNAcentral's name for it is "partial 16S large subunit ribosomal RNA". The record is from RNAcentral. Lineage: Eukaryota; Metazoa; Arthropoda; Insecta; Lepidoptera; Noctuidae.